AGCUGAUUCCGAACGACCUCGUCUGUGAGAUAAACGUGUUCUAACACAUUUGUAGUCAAUAAAAUGUCAACACAACCGUACAUAUUUAACCAUUUAAUUUUCGUAAUUUAGGGCAAGCCGGGCUUCCCCUGAAGUCUAUAAGAAAUCGCCACUGCUGUGAAAAAUAUGU
Long non-coding RNA from Sphaeramia orbicularis (orbiculate cardinalfish), 169 nucleotides. RefSeq lists it as uncharacterized. NCBI's taxonomy places the organism in Eukaryota, Metazoa, Chordata, Actinopteri, Kurtiformes, Apogonidae. The transcript is spliced from 3 exons. The record is from RefSeq and is a predicted model, not a curated record.